Molecule: long non-coding RNA, 279 nt
Filed under: Homo sapiens (human)
Lineage: Eukaryota; Metazoa; Chordata; Mammalia; Primates; Hominidae
Description: HSALNT0364800
Source: RNAcentral
CCUCUCUUCCCUUGCUCUGUUGGAAGUUGGUAGAUAUGCUCCGGACUGUACAGCCUGGUACUUGCCUUUGUCCAUUGCCAUUUCUGGGACCACCCUUCAAAGCCACACAUUGUAAAAUGAAGGCACAGGGGCCAUGCCCCCAUUCUUGGCCAAGCCCUGAGGCUCUGCUGCCCAACUCUUCUAGGCCCCUUGACCUCUUGUCCACCAGGGCACAGGGCAGUGGAAGAUACUGGGAAGGGGCCAACCUCACAUAGCUCACGACCUUAGAGGAGCAUUAAG